This 293-nucleotide long non-coding RNA is filed under the name Bos taurus (domestic cattle). RNAcentral's name for it is "long non-coding RNA NONBTAT016376". Lineage: Eukaryota; Metazoa; Chordata; Mammalia; Artiodactyla; Bovidae. The record is from RNAcentral.
GUCAGAUGUGUUCUGAGUAGAUUUAUUAACAAACACACGUUAGAGACACUUUUUGUAACACUCACAUAGAAAAAGCAGAUACUGUCCACUUGAAACUUUUAUAAUGUAUUGUUUUCUUCUGCGAAGCAAGGUUAAGAUCAGCACUUUGUUAAAAGCACAUUCAUACGUAAAGUCCAUUAGAACAGAUAUUGCAAAAUGAAUGCACGUGCAUGGGGACAGAACGUCUUUGUGAAAAGUCUUGGUGAUAAUCUUGGUAAAGGGGCUGAAUGCUGGGGGAGACCACGUCUCUUACA